Molecule: ribosomal RNA, 313 nt
Filed under: uncultured Lactobacillus sp.
Lineage: Bacteria; Bacillati; Bacillota; Bacilli; Lactobacillales; Lactobacillaceae
Description: bacterial SSU rRNA
Rfam family: Bacterial small subunit ribosomal RNA
Source: RNAcentral
CUUGGAUGGACCUGCGGUGCAUUAGCUAUUGGUAGGGUAACGGACCGUCCAAGGCGAUGAUGCAUAGCCGAGUUGAGAGACUGAUCGGCCACAUUGGGACUGAGACACGGCCCAAACUCCUACGGGAGGCAGCAGUAGGGAAUCUUCCACAAUGGACGCAAGUCUGAUGGAGCAACGCCGCGUGAGUGAAGAAGGGUUUCGGCUCGUAAAGCUCUGUUGUUGGUGAAGAAGGACAGGGGUAGUAACUGACCUUUGUUUGACGGUAAUCAAUUAGAAAGUCACGGCUAACUACGUGCCAGCAGCCGCGGUAAAU